This 1509-nucleotide ribosomal RNA is filed under the name Dechloromonas sp. JM. RNAcentral's name for it is "bacterial SSU rRNA". It matches the Rfam family "Bacterial small subunit ribosomal RNA". The record is from RNAcentral. Lineage: Bacteria; Pseudomonadati; Pseudomonadota; Betaproteobacteria; Rhodocyclales; Azonexaceae.
UGGCUCAGAUUGAACGCUGGCGGCAUGCCUUACACAUGCAAGUCGAACGGCAGCACGGACUUCGGUCUGGUGGCGAGUGGCGAACGGGUGAGUAAUGUAUCGGAACGUACCUUUCAGUGGGGGAUAACGUAGCGAAAGUUACGCUAAUACCGCAUAUUCUGUGAGCAGGAAAGCAGGGGAUCGCAAGACCUUGCGCUGAUUGAGCGGCCGAUAUCAGAUUAGCUAGUUGGUGGGGUAAAGGCCUACCAAGGCUACGAUCUGUAGCGGGUCUGAGAGGAUGAUCCGCCACACUGGAACUGAGACACGGUCCAGACUCCUACGGGAGGCAGCAGUGGGGAAUUUUGGACAAUGGGGGCAACCCUGAUCCAGCCAUGCCGCGUGAGUGAAGAAGGCCUUCGGGUUGUAAAGCUCUUUCGGCCGGGAAGAAAUCGCAUAGGUUAAUACCCUGUGUGGAUGACGGUACCGGAAUAAGAAGCACCGGCUAACUACGUGCCAGCAGCCGCGGUAAUACGUAGGGUGCGAGCGUUAAUCGGAAUUACUGGGCGUAAAGCGUGCGCAGGCGGUUUCGUAAGACAGAGGUGAAAUCCCCGGGCUCAACCUGGGAACUGCCUUUGUGACUGCGAAGCUAGAGUACGGCAGAGGGGGGUGGAAUUCCACGUGUAGCAGUGAAAUGCGUAGAGAUGUGGAGGAACACCGAUGGCGAAGGCAGCCCCCUGGGCCGAUACUGACGCUCAUGCACGAAAGCGUGGGUAGCAAACAGGAUUAGAUACCCUGGUAGUCCACGCCCUAAACGAUGUCAACUAGGUGUUGGGUGGGUAAAACCAUUUAGUACCGUAGCUAACGCGUGAAGUUGACCGCCUGGGGAGUACGGCCGCAAGGUUAAAACUCAAAGGAAUUGACGGGGACCCGCACAAGCGGUGGAUGAUGUGGAUUAAUUCGAUGCAACGCGAAAAACCUUACCUACCCUUGACAUGUUCAGAAUCCCGGAGAGAUUUGGGAGUGCCCGAAAGGGAGCUGGAACACAGGUGCUGCAUGGCUGUCGUCAGCUCGUGUCGUGAGAUGUUGGGUUAAGUCCCGCAACGAGCGCAACCCUUGUCGUUAAUUGCCAUCAUUUAGUUGGGCACUUUAACGAGACUGCCGGUGACAAACCGGAGGAAGGUGGGGAUGACGUCAAGUCCUCAUGGCCCUUAUGGGUAGGGCUUCACACGUCAUACAAUGGUCGGUACAGAGGGUUGCCAAGCCGCGAGGUGGAGCCAAUCCCAGAAAGCCGAUCGUAGUCCGGAUUGCAGGCUGCAACUCGCCUGCAUGAAGUCGGAAUCGCUAGUAAUCGCGGAUCAGCAUGUCGCGGUGAAUACGUUCCCGGGUCUUGUACACACCGCCCGUCACACCAUGGGAGCGGGUUCCGCCAGAAGUAGGUAGCCUAACCGCAAGGGGGGCGCUUACCACGGCGGGGUUCGUGACUGGGGUGAAGUCGUAACAAGGUAGCCGUAGGGGAACCUGCGGCUGGAU